UUGGACAACGUUCAACUUGUCAGUUCUGUCAGCUCAUCGUCCUGAUAUCAAACAUCUGGAAACAUUAAAACCGUCAGUGAGUCAGAAUGUUUCAUUAGUUC
Long non-coding RNA from Sander lucioperca (pikeperch), 101 nucleotides. RefSeq lists it as uncharacterized. Lineage: Eukaryota; Metazoa; Chordata; Actinopteri; Perciformes; Percidae. The transcript has 3 exons. The record is from RefSeq and is a predicted model, not a curated record.